This 324-nucleotide unclassified non-coding RNA is filed under the name Pseudothrix groenlandica. RNAcentral describes it as "sequence contains 18S rRNA gene, ITS1, 5.8S rRNA gene, ITS2 and 28S rRNA gene". The stretch from base 220 to 324 matches the Rfam family "5.8S ribosomal RNA", at positions 1 to 105 of the family's 154-position model. Lineage: Eukaryota; Viridiplantae; Chlorophyta; Ulvophyceae; Ulotrichales; Ulotrichaceae. The record is from RNAcentral.
UUUCCGUAGGUGAACCUGCGGAAGGAWCAUUGAAUCCAUCCACAUCCACACGCGAAUUAUAACGUACCCCUCACCAGGCUGAAAAGCCUCUUGAGCGGCUGGCUCUCGGGCUGGUCGGGCUCCUAGUUUACUAGGAGUUGGCAAAACAUUUACACACCCAACCAAACUGUCUGUCUGAAGCUGAAUCUAUCUAGCCCAGCUAGUAGAAUUAACUAAGACAACUCUCUACAACGGAUAUCUUGGCUCUCGCAACGAUGAAGAACGCAGCGAAAUGCGAUACGUAGUGUGAAUUGCAGAAUUCCGUGAAUCAUCAAAACUUUGAAA